ACAAGCCUGGGGCUCUUCUCAACUUCUGGUGAUUUAUGCGAUGCAUGAGGAGAAUCGGGUUGUUGCCCACAGCACGCUGCAGCGACGUCUUCUUCUCCUCUCUUCGCGGGUGCUCGCCGAUCCACGCUGCCACCCAUCAAUGUUGACAAGUCACCAUCUAAAAGGUUGUCCGAGGAGAAACUGCUGGUUUCGAACGCUAGCAAGCUCCUGGCAUGGACAAGACAGAAGUGGGAAGGCUAUUGCUGCUCC
This is a long non-coding RNA of Triticum dicoccoides, 249 nucleotides long. RefSeq lists it as uncharacterized. The record is from RefSeq and is a predicted model, not a curated record. Lineage: Eukaryota; Viridiplantae; Streptophyta; Magnoliopsida; Poales; Poaceae. The transcript is spliced from 2 exons.